RNAcentral lists this unclassified non-coding RNA (264 nucleotides) under Hevea brasiliensis (rubber tree). The record is from RNAcentral. Lineage: Eukaryota; Viridiplantae; Streptophyta; Magnoliopsida; Malpighiales; Euphorbiaceae.
UUUGUCAUGAGUCCAUGGCCACUCGCUUUGCUCCUUCUUCUUACAUUCAUAGUUGUCAACUUAAGCAUUCAACUACACCUGCUGUUCUUCUUAAUUCUUUUAGUGGAAGAAAACCCCCUUACAACACACUUGUAUUCCAGGCUGUCAGGCUCUUGGGCCCUCCAGCAAGAUUCGAAGCUUCAAAGCUGGAAGUCUUGUUAAAAGGAGAAGAAGUUGAUACAUACUCAAGUAUCGUGCCAAGGACGUACACAUUAUCCCAUUGUG